This is a non-coding RNA of Gossypium raimondii (Peruvian cotton), 152 nucleotides long. The record is from Rfam. Lineage: Eukaryota; Viridiplantae; Streptophyta; Magnoliopsida; Malvales; Malvaceae.
UAUUAAAAAUCUCAUCCGUUUGUAAAGUUAAAAAUUGACAUGGUUGAUGGAAUAACUAAAUAGUGACAUGUGACGUGCAACAUGUACCUUUUACUGACAUAUAGCUAUAGGGAUCAAUUUUUAACAAUAGAAAUAGAUUAAAACUUUCAACA